RNAcentral lists this ribosomal RNA (433 nucleotides) under uncultured bacterium. RNAcentral's name for it is "partial 16S ribosomal RNA". It matches the Rfam family "Bacterial small subunit ribosomal RNA", at positions 29 to 507 of the family's 1533-position model. The record is from RNAcentral.
AACGAACGCUGGCGGCAUGCCUAACACAUGCAAGUCGAACGAGACCUUCGGGUCUAGUGGCGCACGGGUGCGUAACGCGUGGGAACCUGCCCUUAGGUUCGGAAUAACUCCCCGAAAGGGGUGCUAAUACCGGAUAAUGUCUUCGGACCAAAGAUUUAUCGCCUUUGGAUGGGCCCGCGUUGGAUUAGCUAGUUGGUAGGGUAAAAGCCUACCAAGGCGACGAUCCAUAGCUGGUCUGAGAGGAUGAUCAGCCACACUGGGACUGAGACACGGCCCAGACUCCUACGGGAGGCAGCAGUGGGGAAUAUUGGACAAUGCACUAAAGCCUGAUCCAGCAAUGCCGCGUGAGUGAUGAAGGCCUUAGGGUUGUAAAGCUCUUUUACCCGGGAUGAUAAUGACAGUACCGGGAGAAUAAGCUCCGGCUAACUCCGUG